CGAUGGGAAUGUGACUGGUGAAGAGUAGAAGUGGAAGUGGAGUGGUGUGACUCAUCGGGGACUGAUUCCGAGCUCUUGAGGUGAGACCAACAACUGUGCCGAGAGGGAGCAAAUUCCACUCCAUCACCUGCUAGAGCUAUUACAUGGCAUUGGUUAACGCUUGGACCUAUUGGACCAAGGCAUCAAACUACUAGAGUCUAUUGUGAUGAAGAGUUGCAUGGUUGCCGACUCUCGAGUAGUGCUACACUG
This 249-nucleotide long non-coding RNA is filed under the name Elaeis guineensis (African oil palm). Its description in RNAcentral is "long non-coding RNA (EGUI_LNC019775)". The record is from RNAcentral. Lineage: Eukaryota; Viridiplantae; Streptophyta; Magnoliopsida; Arecales; Arecaceae.